RNAcentral lists this ribosomal RNA (253 nucleotides) under uncultured bacterium. RNAcentral's name for it is "partial 16S ribosomal RNA". It matches the Rfam family "Bacterial small subunit ribosomal RNA", at positions 524 to 776 of the family's 1533-position model. The record is from RNAcentral.
UACGGAGGGGACUAGCGUUGUUCGGAUUUACUGGGCGUAAAGGGCGUGUAGGCGGUUUGUUAAGUCUGGCGUGAAAGCUCUCGGCUAAACCGGGAGAGGUCGUUGGAUACUGGCGAACUAGAGGAUGGUAGAGGCGUGUGGAAUUCCGGGUGUAGUGGUGAAAUGCGUAGAGAUCCGGAGGAACACCAGUGGCGAAGGCGACACGCUGGGCCAUACCUGACGCUAAAGCGCGACAGCAUGGGGAGCAAACGGG